GCACCACAACAGGUGGAGCCUGCGGUUUAAUCGGACUCAACGCCGGGAAACUCACCAGAUAAGACAGCUGAAUGAUAGUCGGGCUGAAGACUCUACUUGACUAGCUGAGAGGAGGUGCAUGGCCGUCGUCAGUUCGUACUGUGAAGCAUCCUGUUGAGUCAGGCAACGAGCGAGACCCACGCCAACAGUUGCCGAGCUCGUCCUCCGGGAUGGUGGGGACACUGUUGGGACCGCCUCUGCUAAAGAGGAGGAAGGAAUGGGCAACGGUAGGUCAGCAUGCCCCGAAUUAUCUGGGCUACACGCGGGCUACAAUGGGCGGGACAAUGGGUAUCGACACCGAAAGGUGAAGGCAAUCUCCUAAACCCAUCCGUAGUUCGGAUUGUGGGCUGCAACUCGCCCACAUGAAGCUGGAAUCUGUAGUAAUCGUGUCUCAAAAUGGCACGGUGAAUAUGUCCCUGCUCCUU
This 464-nucleotide ribosomal RNA is filed under the name uncultured Methanomicrobiales archaeon. RNAcentral describes it as "bacterial SSU rRNA". It matches the Rfam family "Archaeal small subunit ribosomal RNA", at positions 876 to 1338 of the family's 1478-position model. Lineage: Archaea; Methanobacteriati; Methanobacteriota; Methanomicrobia; Methanomicrobiales. The record is from RNAcentral.